This 484-nucleotide ribosomal RNA is filed under the name uncultured Desulfobacteraceae bacterium. RNAcentral's name for it is "bacterial SSU rRNA". It matches the Rfam family "Bacterial small subunit ribosomal RNA", at positions 16 to 473 of the family's 1533-position model. Lineage: Bacteria; Pseudomonadati; Thermodesulfobacteriota; Desulfobacteria; Desulfobacterales; Desulfobacteraceae. The record is from RNAcentral.
AUCAUGGCUCAGAACGAACGCUGGCGGCGUGCUUAACACAUGCAAGUCGGACGAGAAAUCUUGGCUUCGGUCGAGAGAGUAAAGUGGCGCACGGGUGAGUAACGCGUGGGUAACCUGCCUCCAAGAUGGGGAUAACUGUUUGAAAGGACAGCUAAUACCCAAUAAUACCCUUAAGUUUUCGGACUUUUGGGUCAAAAGAUGACCUCUAUAUAUAAGUUGUCGCUUAGAGAUGGGCCCGCGUACCAUUAGUUUGUUGGUGGGGUAAUGGCCUACCAAGACUAUGAUGGUUAGCUGGUCUGAGAGGAUGAUCAGCCACACUGGAACUGAAACACGGUCCANACUCCUACGGGAGGCAGCAGUGAGGAAUCUUGCGCAAUGGGGGAAACCCUGACGCAGCAACGCCGCGUGAGUGAGGAAGGCUUUAGGGUUGUAAAACUCUGUCAUAUGGGAAGAACGGUUACGUGUCAAUAGCGCGUAAUUAUGA